RNAcentral lists this ribosomal RNA (2058 nucleotides) under Citrobacter sp. wls826. Its description in RNAcentral is "partial 23S ribosomal RNA". It matches the Rfam family "Bacterial large subunit ribosomal RNA", at positions 157 to 2236 of the family's 2925-position model. The record is from RNAcentral. Lineage: Bacteria; Pseudomonadati; Pseudomonadota; Gammaproteobacteria; Enterobacterales; Enterobacteriaceae.
CGUGAAUACAUAGCGUAAUGAAGCGAACCGGGGGAACUGAAACAUCUAAGUACCCCGAGGAAAAGAAAUCAACCGAGAUUCCCCCAGUAGCGGCGAGCGAACGGGGAGCAGCCCAGAGUCUGAAUCAGCAUGUGUGGUAGUGGAACGGUCUGGAAAGUCCGACGGUACAGGGUGAUAGUCCCGUACACAAAAGUGCAUGUGUUGUGAACUCGAAGAGUAGGGCGGGACACGUGGUAUCCUGUCUGAAUAUGGGGGGACCAUCCUCCAAGGCUAAAUACUCCUGACUGACCGAUAGUGAACCAGUACCGUGAGGGAAAGGCGAAAAGAACCCCGGCGAGGGGAGUGAAAAAGAACCUGAAACCGUGUACGUACAAGCAGUGGGAGCCUCUUUAUGGGGUGACUGCGUACCUUUUGUAUAAUGGGUCAGCGACUUAUAUUCUGUAGCAAGGUUAACCGAAUAGGGGAGCCGAAGGGAAACCGAGUCUUAACUGGGCGUUAAGUUGCAGGGUAUAGACCCGAAACCCGGUGAUCUAGCCAUGGGCAGGUUGAAGGUUGGGUAACACUAACUGGAGGACCGAACCGACUAAUGUUGAAAAAUUAGCGGAUGACUUGUGGCUGGGGGUGAAAGGCCAAUCAAACCGGGAGAUAGCUGGUUCUCCCCGAAAGCUAUUUAGGUAGCGCCUCGUGAACUCAUCUUCGGGGGUAGAGCACUGUUUCGGCUAGGGGGUCAUCCCGACUUACCAACCCGAUGCAAACUGCGAAUACCGAAGAAUGUUAUCACGGGAGACACACGGCGGGUGCUAACGUCCGUCGUGAAGAGGGAAACAACCCAGACCGCCAGCUAAGGUCCCAAAGUCAUGGUUAAGUGGGAAACGAUGUGGGAAGGCACAGACAGCCAGGAUGUUGGCUUAGAAGCAGCCAUCAUUUAAAGAAAGCGUAAUAGCUCACUGGUCGAGUCGGCCUGCGCGGAAGAUGUAACGGGGCUAAACCAUGCACCGAAGCUGCGGCAGCGACACUAUGUGUUGUUGGGUAGGGGAGCGUUCUGUAAGCCGUUGAAGGUGUGCUGUGAGGCAUGCUGGAGGUAUCAGAAGUGCGAAUGCUGACAUAAGUAACGAUAAUGCGGGUGAAAAACCCGCACGCCGGAAGACCAAGGGUUCCUGUCCAACGUUAAUCGGGGCAGGGUGAGUCGACCCCUAAGGCGAGGCCGAAAGGCGUAGUCGAUGGGAAACAGGUUAAUAUUCCUGUACUUGGUGUUACUGCGAAGGGGGGACGGAGAAGGCUAUGUUAGCCGGGCGACGGUUGUCCCGGUUUAAGCAUGUAGGCGGAGAUUCCAGGUAAAUCCGGAGUCUUGCUAACGCUGAGGUGUGAUGACGAGGCACUACGGUGCUGAAGUAACAAAUGCCCUGCUUCCAGGAAAAGCCUCUAAGCAUCAGGUAACACGAAAUCGUACCCCAAACCGACACAGGUGGUCAGGUAGAGAAUACCAAGGCGCUUGAGAGAACUCGGGUGAAGGAACUAGGCAAAAUGGUGCCGUAACUUCGGGAGAAGGCACGCUGAUAUGUAGGUGAAGUGAUUUACUCAUGGAGCUGAAAUCAGUCGAAGAUACCAGCUGGCUGCAACUGUUUAUUAAAAACACAGCACUGUGCAAACACGAAAGUGGACGUAUACGGUGUGACGCCUGCCCGGUGCCGGAAGGUUAAUUGAUGGGGUUAUCCGUAAGGAGAAGCUCUUGAUCGAAGCCCCGGUAAACGGCGGCCGUAACUAUAACGGUCCUAAGGUAGCGAAAUUCCUUGUCGGGUAAGUUCCGACCUGCACGAAUGGCGUAAUGAUGGCCAGGCUGUCUCCACCCGAGACUCAGUGAAAUUGAACUCGCUGUGAAGAUGCAGUGUACCCGCGGCAAGACGGAAAGACCCCGUGAACCUUUACUAUAGCUUGACACUGAACACUGGUCCUUGAUGUGUAGGAUAGGUGGGAGGCUUUGAAGUGUGGACGCCAGUCUGCAUGGAGCCAACCUUGAAAUACCACCCUUUAAUGGCUGGUGUUCUAACGUAGACCCGU